This 234-nucleotide ribosomal RNA is filed under the name uncultured bacterium. Its description in RNAcentral is "partial 16S ribosomal RNA". It matches the Rfam family "Bacterial small subunit ribosomal RNA", at positions 96 to 334 of the family's 1533-position model. The record is from RNAcentral.
UGGCGGACGGGUGAGUAAUGUCUGGGAAACUGCCUGAUGGAGGGGGAUAACUACUGGAAACGGUGGCUAAUACCGCAUAACGUCGCAAGACCAAAGAGGGGACCUUAGGGCCUCUUGCCAUCGGAUGUGCCCAGAUGGGAUUAGCUAGUAGGUGGGGUAACGGCUCACCUAGGCGACGAUCCCUAGCUGGUCCGAGAGGAUGACCAGCCACACUGGAACUGAGACACGGUCCAG